CCCUAGCUAGCCCCUGGGACGCCUCCUCCACACCAACACAUCCAUCCCCAGGGGACCGAGCGAGGAUCUCAGAGCGCGACCUGGGCAGGAAAGACCUGGAACCAACUCAAAUGCCCAUCGAUGGUAGACUGGACAGAGAAAAUGUGGGACAUAUACACCAUGGAAUACUAUGCAGCCAUAAAAAAUGAUGAGUUCAUGUCCUUUAUAUAGACAUGGAUGUACCUGGAAACCAUCAUUCUCAGCAAACUGACAUGAGAACAGAAAAUCAAACCCUGCAUGUUCUUACUCAUAGGUAGGUGUCGAACAAUGAGAACACAUGGAUACAGGGAGGGGAGCAUCACACACUGGGGUCUGUU
This 356-nucleotide long non-coding RNA is filed under the name Callithrix jacchus (white-tufted-ear marmoset). RNAcentral's name for it is "lncRNA (ENSCJAG00000079249.1)". The record is from RNAcentral. Lineage: Eukaryota; Metazoa; Chordata; Mammalia; Primates; Cebidae.